AUGGUUAUGUUGUUAUGUUGUUAUGAGGAUAUGUUGUAGUACAAUUUGAAUGAAAGUAAUUGUUAUGUUCUUAUGUUGUCAUGAAAAUAUUGACCAUGUUAUGAGGAUAAUGUUAUGUUCUUAUAAUGUUGUGUUAUGUUCUUAUUAUGUCCCAUAGCACCACAUUUUGCACAUGAGACAGAUGAAAAUCUCCCUAGUAGUAUAUGGGGAUUUCUAGGUUCA
Molecule: long non-coding RNA, 222 nt
Filed under: Lathyrus oleraceus (garden pea)
Lineage: Eukaryota; Viridiplantae; Streptophyta; Magnoliopsida; Fabales; Fabaceae
Description: Pisum sativum (pea) long non-coding RNA (PSAT_LNC004424)
Source: RNAcentral